Long non-coding RNA from Hippoglossus stenolepis (Pacific halibut), 562 nucleotides. RefSeq lists it as uncharacterized. The record is from RefSeq and is a predicted model, not a curated record. Lineage: Eukaryota; Metazoa; Chordata; Actinopteri; Pleuronectiformes; Pleuronectidae. The transcript has 3 exons.
CGUUUGGAGCCAGUCGCACAACAGACCUGGGAUCAGACUGUGUAUAAGCUGACCCAGCAGCUGCGUGUGUGGGCCAUAGACUGCAUAUGAAGGUGUAGACUGGUCCCAGAUCAGUGCUGCUGGAGAGUGUUUACGGACUGGGACCCGCCCCAUCACGUCAGAAGACCCGCUGAAAUUCAAAGUUGGAGGAGGAGGAGACUGGAGGUUUCUAUGUGUUUAUGUCUGUGGUCAGAACAAGAAGACCCCUCUCCUCGUCAGUCGGAACUCUCCCACAUCUCCUCAGCUCAGUAUGGAAGCUGGCGAGGAAAACAACGCAAGCAUGAAGAGACAGAGAACACCUCUGUCAGAUUCUGAAGACAAUGUCUUCUCGCCCUCAGAUAUGAAAGAUGGCCAGAAGCGGCGGCGUCUGGACGCAGCAGGUCAAGAGAACCGAAGCCCUAAACCAUCCAGCUCUGGACGACUAGCUGAGCUGGGGAUAAAGGCCGAUACAUCGAUGGUUCCCUCAGUGCAGUCCCGGGUCCACCAGCUCACCCACAGAAGAGAGGUCUUGAGUACUGAGACA